RNAcentral lists this ribosomal RNA (1439 nucleotides) under Lactiplantibacillus plantarum. Its description in RNAcentral is "Lactobacillus plantarum partial 16S ribosomal RNA". It matches the Rfam family "Bacterial small subunit ribosomal RNA". The record is from RNAcentral. Lineage: Bacteria; Bacillati; Bacillota; Bacilli; Lactobacillales; Lactobacillaceae.
GGGGAAAGGUUCCGAUAUACAUGCAGUCGUACGAACUCUGCGUAUUGAUUGGUGCUUGCAUCAUGAUUUACAUUUGAGUGAGUGGCGAACUGGUGAGUAACACGUGGGAAACCUGCCCAGAAGCGGGGGAUAACACCUGGAAACAGAUGCUAAUACCGCAUAACAACUUGGACCGCAUGGUCCGAGCUUGAAAGAUGGCUUCGGCUAUCACUUUUGGAUGGUCCCGCGGCGUAUUAGCUAGAUGGUGGGGUAACGGCUCACCAUGGCAAUGAUACGUAGCCGACCUGAGAGGGUAAUCGGCCACAUUGGGACUGAGACACGGCCCAAACUCCUACGGGAGGCAGCAGUAGGGAAUCUUCCACAAUGGACGAAAGUCUGAUGGAGCAACGCCGCGUGAGUGAAGAAGGGUUUCGGCUCGUAAAACUCUGUUGUUAAAGAAGAACAUAUCUGAGAGUAACUGUUCAGGUAUUGACGGUAUUUAACCAGAAAGCCACGGCUAACUACGUGCCAGCAGCCGCGGUAAUACGUAGGUGGCAAGCGUUGUCCGGAUUUAUUGGGCGUAAAGCGAGCGCAGGCGGUUUUUUAAGUCUGAUGUGAAAGCCUUCGGCUCAACCGAAGAAGUGCAUCGGAAACUGGGAAACUUGAGUGCAGAAGAGGACAGUGGAACUCCAUGUGUAGCGGUGAAAUGCGUAGAUAUAUGGAAGAACACCAGUGGCGAAGGCGGCUGUCUGGUCUGUAACUGACGCUGAGGCUCGAAAGUAUGGGUAGCAAACAGGAUUAGAUACCCUGGUAGUCCAUACCGUAAACGAUGAAUGCUAAGUGUUGGAGGGUUUCCGCCCUUCAGUGCUGCAGCUAACGCAUUAAGCAUUCCGCCUGGGGAGUACGGCCGCAAGGCUGAAACUCAAAGGAAUUGACGGGGGCCCGCACAAGCGGUGGAGCAUGUGGUUUAAUUCGAAGCUACGCGAAGAACCUUACCAGGGCUUGGCUUACUAUGCAAAUCUAAGAAAUUAAACGUUCCCUUUCGGGACAUGGAUACCAGGUGGGGCAAGGGUUUCCUCCACCUCUGGCCCGGAAAAUUUUGGGUUAAAUCCCCCCAAAAAGGGCAACCCUUUAUAUAAAGGUGGCCAGCCUUAAAUUGGGGCACUCCGGGGGAAAAUUGCCGGGGACAAAACCCGAGAAGAAGGGGGGGGAGAACCCGCCACAACUCUUUGGCCCCUUUAAAACGGGGGGCAAAACCAGGGUGCAAAAAAGGGGAGGGACAAAAUAUUUGGGAACUCCUCGGAGAAAAGGGAUAUUCUAUUAAACCUCUCUCUCUUUUUCGGGAUUGGAGAGCCGCCCUCCCCACCCAGAAAUAUGAAUAGAUGUCUAUAAUGCCGGAUACAAAUGACGCCGGGAGAUAGAAUUUACCCUGGGUUAUGACACAACCACCGUCUCAACGG